GAGGGUAUGGAAGGGGAAAAAUAAAGGAGGGGUGGAGAGGAAACCGGAGGAGGAUAUGGAAGGGAAAAAAUAGGAAGGGUUGGAAAGAAAGCCGGAGGAGGAUAUGGAAGGGGAAAAAUAGGAAAGGUUGGAAAGAAAGCCGGGGGAGGAUAUGGAAGGGGAAAAAUAGGAAGGGUUGGAAAGAAAGCCGGGGGAGGAUAUGGAAGGGGAAAAAUAGGAAGGGUUGGAAAGAAAGCCGGGGGAGGAUAUGGAAGGGGAAAAAUAGGAAGGGUUGGAAAGAAAGCCGGGGGAGGAUAUGGAAGGGGAAAAAUAGGAAGGGUUGGAAAGAAAGCCGGGGGAGGAUAUGGAAGGGGAAAAAUAGGAAGGGUUGGAAAGAAAGCCGGGGGAGGAUAUGGAAGGGGAAAAAUAGGAAGGGUUGGAAAGAAAGCCGGGGGAGGAUAUGGAAGGGGAAAAAUAGGAAGGGUUGGAAAGAAAGCCGGGGGAGGAUAUGGAAGGGGAAAA
Molecule: long non-coding RNA, 501 nt
Organism: Eriocheir sinensis (Chinese mitten crab)
Lineage: Eukaryota; Metazoa; Arthropoda; Malacostraca; Decapoda; Varunidae
Exons: 3
Source: RefSeq, a predicted model, not a curated record